Molecule: long non-coding RNA, 841 nt
Organism: Triticum aestivum (bread wheat)
Lineage: Eukaryota; Viridiplantae; Streptophyta; Magnoliopsida; Poales; Poaceae
Exons: 3
Source: RefSeq, a predicted model, not a curated record
CAAGAUAUGUGGUUUUGGAUUAGGGUAGGACUCAAGAUAUGUGACUUCCAAGGGAACUGCAAACUCAAGAUAUGUGGUCUUGGACUAGCAAGAUUUGCAUCCAGUGACACCCCUACAACAGUUUUCUGGAUGGACCAUGUCGCCACCUGAUGGUAUAGAGCUCAUGAACUCUGUAAUGUUCUAUCAUUACCAAGUGUUGUUAACAAUUUCCAGAGGCUAACUUAGAGGAAGAUAGAGGAAAGAGCAGGGCAGUUGAGGGGAAGUACAUUUCUCACUUGAGGUAACUUACAUUAUUAUAUUUCUCCGAAAUGUAAUUGAUUAUAUAUAUAGGCUCUCAAUUAUUUUGUGCUGCCAAUGACAUACAUAGUUUGUGUUAAAAUGAUUAGGAGUACCAAAAGGCAUUAGUCAGUUAAUGUGAAGUGUUUCUGUAUUUAGAAAUCUUGAAAUUGGCUCUUUUCAUUAUCAUUUUCAUGAUCCUAAUGUCUAUGCGAAUUAUUUCUGUAUUUAAAAAACUUGAAAUUGGCUCUUUUGGUGAAACGGCAAGAAGCACUUUAGCCUCGUUGCAUUAAAGAUGAGAAGAACAUAAUGUACACGUGUGGGUGGACGCAAACAUCCCCCCGUAGGGGGCAAACUGGGCGCAAGCAUGAAAGAAGAGGCACAUUGGCCAACAAACACCCCUUUCUCCGAAUGUACAACCCAUAAACUCGGGCCUGAAUUCGUAGGCGUGCAUCAUCGUAGAUCUUCUAAAACACUUGGUGCACGCUGCAUUACAAAGACCUUCUUGCCACAAUUGGCUUGUGCUUGUAGAUGGAUGCCAAUUAUGGAGCGUGGAGAUGAAUCA